GACGAACCGUGCGAACGUUAUUCGGAAUCACUGGGCUUAAAGGGCGCGUAGGCGGACUCGUUAGUCAGGGGUGAAAGCCCACGGCCCAACCGUGGAAGUGCCUUUGAUACUGCGAGUCUCGAGGGGGAUAGGGGCGUGCGGAACUCAGGGUGAAGCGGUGAAAUGCGUAGAUAUCCUGAGGAACACCGGUGGCGAAAGCGGCGCGCUGGAUCCCUUCUGACGCUGAGGCGCGAAAGCCAGGGGAGCAAACGGG
Molecule: ribosomal RNA, 253 nt
Filed under: uncultured bacterium
Lineage: Bacteria
Description: partial 16S ribosomal RNA
Rfam family: Bacterial small subunit ribosomal RNA
Source: RNAcentral